AGCAGCCGCGGUAAUUCCAGCUCCAAUAGCGUAUAUUAAAGUUGUUGCAGUUAAAAAGCUCGUAGUUGAAUUUCGGGGUUCAUACGUUGGUCGGGCUAUUUGGUCUGUACUUAUGUAAUGGAUUCCUACCUUCUGAAUAACCGGCAUGCCAUUAAUUUGGUGCGCCGGGGAAGCAGGACUGUUACCUUGAAAAAAUUAGAGUGCUUAAAGCAGGCUAUCGCCUGAAUACAUUAGCAUGGAAUAAUGAAAUAGGACGGCAUGGUUCUAUUUUGUUGGUUUCUAGGAUCACCGUAAUGAUUAAUAGGGAUAGUUGGGGGCAUUAGUAUUCAAUUGUCAGAGGUGAAAUUCUUGGAUUUAUUGAAGACUAACUUCUGCGAAAGCAUUUGCCAAGGAUGUUUUCAUUAAUCAAGAACGAAAGUUAGGGGAUCGAAGACGAUCAGAUACCGUCGU
RNAcentral lists this ribosomal RNA (450 nucleotides) under uncultured Glomeromycotina. RNAcentral describes it as "SSU rRNA". It matches the Rfam family "Eukaryotic small subunit ribosomal RNA", at positions 569 to 1021 of the family's 1831-position model. The record is from RNAcentral. Lineage: Eukaryota; Fungi; Glomeromycota.